AUACGGAGGGUGCAAGCGUUACUCGGAAUCACUGGGCGUAAAGCGCGCGCAGGCGGCUAUUUAAGUUGGAUGUGAAAGCCUACGGCUCAACCGUAGAACUGCAUCCAAAACUAUUAGACUAGAGUGUGGGAGAGGAAGAUGGAAUUAGUUGUGUAGGGAUAAAAUCCGUAGAGAUAACUAGGAAUACCAAAAGCGAAGGCAAUCUUCUGGAACACUACUGACGCUGAGGCGCGAAAGCGUGGGGAGCAAACAGGAUUAGAAACCCUAGUAGUCC
Molecule: ribosomal RNA, 274 nt
Filed under: uncultured bacterium
Lineage: Bacteria
Description: partial 16S ribosomal RNA
Rfam family: Bacterial small subunit ribosomal RNA
Source: RNAcentral